Molecule: ribosomal RNA, 1156 nt
Filed under: Yersinia enterocolitica
Lineage: Bacteria; Pseudomonadati; Pseudomonadota; Gammaproteobacteria; Enterobacterales; Yersiniaceae
Description: partial 23S ribosomal RNA
Rfam family: Bacterial large subunit ribosomal RNA
Source: RNAcentral
GGAAAGUCGCACGGUACAGGGUGAUAGUCCCGUACACAAAAAUGCAUAUGUUGUGAGUUCGAUGAGUAGGGCGGGACACGUGACAUCCUGUCUGAAUAUGGGGGGACCAUCCUCCAAGGCUAAAUACUCCUGACUGACCGAUAGUGAACCAGUACCGUGAGGGAAAGGCGAAAAGAACCCCGGCGAGGGGAGUGAAAUAGAACCUGAAACCGUGUACGUACAAGCAGUGGGAGCACCUUCGUGGUGUGACUGCGUACCUUUUGUAUAAUGGGUCAGCGACUUAUAUUUUGUAGCAAGGUUAACCGAAUAGGGGAGCCGUAGGGAAACCGAGUCUUAACUGGGCGAAUAGUUGCAAGGUAUAGACCCGAAACCCGGUGAUCUAGCCAUGGGCAGGUUGAAGGUUGGGUAACACUAACUGGAGGACCGAACCGACUAAUGUUGAAAAAUUAGCGGAUGACUUGUGGCUGGGGGUGAAAGGCCAAUCAAACCGGGAGAUAGCUGGUUCUCCCCGAAAGCUAUUUAGGUAGCGCCUCGUGAACUCAUCUUCGGGGGUAGAGCACUGUUUCGGCUAGGGGGUCAUCCCGACUUACCAAACCGAUGCAAACUCCGAAUACCGAAGAAUGUUAUCACGGGAGACACACGGCGGGUGCUAACGUCCGUCGUGAAGAGGGAAACAACCCAGACCGCCAGCUAAGGUCCCAAAGUCAUGGUUAAGUGGGAAACGAUGUGGGAAGGCAUAGACAGCCAGGAUGUUGGCUUAGAAGCAGCCAUCAUUUAAAGAAAGCGUAAUAGCUCACUGGUCGAGUCGGCCUGCGCGGAAGAUGUAACGGGGCUAAACCAUGCACCGAAGCUGCGGCAGCGACACUUAGGUGUUGUUGGGUAGGGGAGCGUUCUGUAAGCCGUUGAAGGUGACCUGUGAGGGUUGCUGGAGGUAUCAGAAGUGCGAAUGCUGACAUAAGUAACGAUAAUGCGGGUGAAAAACCCGCACGCCGGAAGACCAAGGGUUCCUGUCCAACGUUAAUCGGGGCAGGGUGAGUCGACCCCUAAGGCGAGGCUGAAAAGCGUAGUCGAUGGGAAACAGGUUAAUAUUCCUGUACUUGGUGUUACUGCGAAGGGGGGACGGAGAAGGCUAGGCUAGCCGGGCGACGGUUGUCCC